Erinaceus europaeus (western European hedgehog) is the source of this 623-nucleotide long non-coding RNA. RefSeq lists it as uncharacterized. The transcript has 2 exons. Lineage: Eukaryota; Metazoa; Chordata; Mammalia; Eulipotyphla; Erinaceidae. The record is from RefSeq and is a predicted model, not a curated record.
AAGAAGGGCAAAUGCUAGAAGAAGAAGAAACUGAAGAGAAAUUGAGUGUAGACAGAGGAAAAAGAAAGACACCUUCAGACCUGCUUCACUACUUGUGAAGCAUCUCCCACCCCAGUAGGUGGGGAGUCAGGGGGAGAGGGGGCUUGAACCUGGGUUUUUACUCCUGGUGAUAUGUACGUUUAACUGGGUGCACCACCACCUGGCCCUGAGUUCCUUUUUCUCCACCUCCUUGGCAACACAUGUCCUUUCCUAUUAUGUCGAUGCAGGUCAGGAACUAUGGUGGUUAUCAAAAUGGGUGUACACAGAACUCUGGUGUUGGGUGUGGUGUGAACUUUAUAAUUUUGCAAACCACUACUAGCUAAUAAAAUAAAGUAUUUAGAAAAAAGGAAAACAGGAUGACUUCUUGCAGUCCCCGAGGACAUUAGAGUCUGUGAUGUGCCUCUGCCUCCCUUGGCAUUACAGUCAUCUCUUCAUGUGCCAGCAGCUGCCAUUCGGUUGCACUUAGGUUAGACAACAAAUCUGCAUCACCUCACAGGGUACUGAGGAUGAGCUUGAAUACAGGGUUGCAGACCUGAGUUUGAGAAUGGAAUGAGGCCAAUCACAAAAUAAAUACUUUUGACCAA